GAUGAACGCUGGCGGCGUGCCUAAUACAUGCAAGUCGAGCGAACGGACGAGAAGCUUGCUUCUCUGAUGUUAGCGGCGGACGGGUGAGUAACACGUGGAUAACCUACCUAUAAGACUGGGAUAACUUCGGGAAACCGUAGCUAAUACCGGAUAAUAUUUUGAACCGCAUGGUUCAAAAGUGAAAGACGGUCUUGCUGUCACUUAUAGAUGGAUCCGCGCUGCAUUAGCUAGUUGGUAAGGUAACGACUUACCAAGGCAACGAUGCAUAGCCGACCUGAGAGGGUGAUCGGCCACACUGGAACUGAGACACGGUCCAGACUCCUACGGGAGGCAGCAGUAGGGAAUCUUCCGCAAUGGGCGAAAGCCUGACGGAGCAACGCCGCGUGAGUGAUGAAGGUCUUCGGAUCGUAAAGCUCUAUUAUUAGGGAAGAACAUAUGUGUAAGUAACUGUGCACAUCUUGACGGUACCUAAUCAGAAAGCCACGGCUAACUACGUG
Molecule: ribosomal RNA, 497 nt
Filed under: uncultured bacterium
Lineage: Bacteria
Description: partial 16S ribosomal RNA
Rfam family: Bacterial small subunit ribosomal RNA
Source: RNAcentral